Molecule: ribosomal RNA, 428 nt
Filed under: uncultured prokaryote
Description: bacterial SSU rRNA
Rfam family: Bacterial small subunit ribosomal RNA
Source: RNAcentral
UGAGGAAUCUUCCGCAAUGGGCGAAAGCCUGACGGAGCAACGCCGCGUGAAUGAAGAAGGCCUUCGGGUCGUAAAGUUCUGUCUUUUGGGAAGAAGUCUCUUUGGGUAAAUAAUCCAAGGAGGUGACGGUACCAGAGGAGGAAGCUCCGGCUAACUACGUGCCAGCAGCCGCGGUGAUACGUAGGGAGCAAGCGUUGUCCGGAAUUACUGGGCGUAAAGGGCGCGUAGGCGGGUAUUUAGGUCAGAUGUGAAAGCGCCGGGCUCAACUUGGAGAGUGCAUUUGAAACUGGAUAUCUUGAGGGCAGGAGAGGAAAGGGGAAUUCCUAGGGUAGCGGUGGAAUGCGUAGAUAUUAGGAGGAACACCAGUGGCGAAGGCGACUUUCUGGACUGUACCUGACGCUGAGGCGCGAAAGCAUGGGGAGCGAACA